GUGGGGAAUAUUGGACAAUGGGCGAAAGCCUGAUCCAGCCAUGCCGCGUGUGUGAAGAAGGUCUUCGGAUUGUAAAGCACUUUAAGUUGGGAGGAAGGGCAGUAAGUUAAUACCUUGCUGUUUUGACGUUACCGACAGAAUAAGCACCGGCUAACUUCGUGCCAGCAGCCGCGGUAAUACGAAGGGUGCAAGCGUUAAUCGGAAUUACUGGGCGUAAAGCGCGCGUAGGUGGUUUUGUAAGUUGGAGGUGAAAUCCCCGGGCUCAACCUGGGAACUGCCUCCAAAACUGCAUGACUAGAGUACGGGAGAGGGUAGUGGAAUUUCCUGUGUAGCGGUGAAAUGCGUAGAUAUAGGAAGGAACACCAGUGGCGAAGGCGACUACCUGGACUGAUACUGACACUGAGGUGCGAAAGCGUGGGGAGCAAACAGGAUUAGAUACCCCGGUAGUCC
Molecule: ribosomal RNA, 450 nt
Filed under: uncultured bacterium
Lineage: Bacteria
Description: partial 16S ribosomal RNA
Rfam family: Bacterial small subunit ribosomal RNA
Source: RNAcentral